This 1064-nucleotide long non-coding RNA is filed under the name Zalophus californianus (California sea lion). Its description in RNAcentral is "lncRNA (ENSZCAG00015003260.1)". Lineage: Eukaryota; Metazoa; Chordata; Mammalia; Carnivora; Otariidae. The record is from RNAcentral.
AUGCAGGAUUACCAACAAUGGGUGAACAGCCAGCUCUCAGAGGCGGCGGGCUCCGCUCCGCACCGAGUCUCUGCGUUUCCAGUGGGUGGACAAGGCCUUGGCAGCGACCGCUUGUCUGCUGUGGGCGCUUUCUCUGCUCUUCUGCCCGCGCUUCCUUUUCCUGGAAGGAUUUCAUACGUGAUAUCACUGGGUUCCCAGGCAGUGUUCUGUGCACAAGAUGCUUUCUCCCCCCGUCUUGCUCGUCACAGAUUAGCCUCUGUGAAUCCUGGGAACAGGGACACAGAAGGCUCAGUGUCCAUUGUCUGCGUGCGUGCGCGUGUGUGUGUGAAAGUCCCGCGGACAAAGGCCCUUUCUCUCUGCUCUGAAUCUCCCCUCUGUCCCCUCCUCCUGGCGGGCGGCUCUCCAGGAACAAACGGGAAGACUCGUGGUGACCGACCUCUGCUGCCCAAGGAGGUCCUUGCACUGGAGCAAAGAACGUUUAUUGUUAAGCCCUUACCAUUUUUGUUGACGAUCAAAGAGUUUUCUUUGAUGUUGCUUGCUGUAUUCUUCUCAAAAGAGGUCCAGAUUUCCCACCUGGAGUCACUUUCCUUGUCUGAAUUACACCUGUUAGCGCUUUCAGCUAGUGGCAGAGUCUCCGGGUUUCUGUUUGUCUGAAAACCCAUCGGCCCUGCCUUCGAUCUGGGGAGAGAUGCUGUCUGGGUAUCGGAGAUGGUCCCAGUGGGGAGGGCGCCCUCCGGUUCACUGCUCUGGGGGACGCUGCUGGCCGCCCCCCAGACUCUGGGGGCAACCCCGAACUCCUCUCUGCCUUCUUGGUAAGCUUUUAUGUCUUUGUUUGCUUUUCAGGUUUCUUUUUAUGUGAUCCAUUUAGGUGUGCAUUUCUUUGUAUUUCUUCUGCUUGGAACUUGUUAGUAUUCUGGAAUCUGUGCACUUGGUAUUUUUCAUCCAUUCUGGAAAAAUUUCAUCAUCUCUUCACGUUUUGGCUCUGUGUCACUCUCUAAUAAAGCAUAUUUUAGAAUGUUUUUUAUGCAUGGGGUGGUUUUCAUGGAUCGUUCCUUCUCUUUGAU